AGUGAACGCUGGCGGUAGGCCUAACACAUGCAAGUCGAACGGCAGCACAGUAAUAGCUUGCUCUUACGGGUGGCGAGUGGCGGACGGGUGAGGAAUACGUCGGAAUCUACUUUUUCGUGGGGGAUAACGUAGGGAAACUUACGCUAAUACCGCAUACGACCUACGGGUGAAAGCAGUGGAUCUUCGGACCUUGCGCGAUUGAAUGAGCCGAUGUCGGAUUAGCUAGUUGGCGGGUGAAAGACCUACCAAGGCGACGAUCCGUAGCUGGUCUGAGAGGAUGGUCAGCCACACGAGAAGUGAGACACCGUCCAGACUCCUACGGGAGGCAGCAGUGGGGAAUGUUGGGCAAUGGGCGCAAGCCUGAUCCAGCCAUACCGAGUGGGUGAAGAAGGCCUUCGGGUUGUAAAGCCCUUUUGUUGGGAAAGAAAAGCAGCAGGCUAAUACGCCACUGUUGUGACGGUAACCAAAGAAUAAGCACCGGCUAACUUCGUG
RNAcentral lists this ribosomal RNA (492 nucleotides) under uncultured bacterium. RNAcentral describes it as "partial 16S ribosomal RNA". It matches the Rfam family "Bacterial small subunit ribosomal RNA", at positions 29 to 507 of the family's 1533-position model. The record is from RNAcentral.